RNAcentral lists this ribosomal RNA (531 nucleotides) under uncultured archaeon. Its description in RNAcentral is "bacterial SSU rRNA". It matches the Rfam family "Archaeal small subunit ribosomal RNA", at positions 1 to 538 of the family's 1478-position model. The record is from RNAcentral.
UUUCCGGUUGAUCCUGCCGGACCUGACUGCUAUCGGAUUGGUACUAAGCCAUGCGAGUCAUUGUAGCAAUACAAGGCGGACGGCUCAGUAACACGUAGUCAACCUAACUCGUGGACGUGGAUAACCUCGGGAAACUGAGAAUAAACCACGAUAGAUCAUAAUGCCUGGAAUGGCUUAUGGUCCAAACAGUUUACUGCCAUGGGAUGGGACUGCGGCCUAUCAGCUUGUUGGUGAGGUAAUGGCCCACCAAGGCGAUUACAGGUACGGGCUCUGAGAGGAGAAGCCCGGAGAUGGGUACUGAGACACGGACCCAGGCCCUAUGGGGCGCAGCAGGCGAGAAACCUUAGCAAUGUGCGAAAGCACGACUGGGUCAGUCCGAGUGAUUCCUGAUAAAGGAGUCUUUUGCUUGUCCUAAAAGCACAGGUGAAUAAGGGGUGGGCAAGUCUGGUGUCAGCCGCCGCGGUAAUACCAGCACCUCGAGUGGUCAGGACGUUUAUUGGGCCUAAAGCAUCCGUAGCCGGCUUUGCAAGU